Molecule: ribosomal RNA, 468 nt
Filed under: uncultured bacterium
Lineage: Bacteria
Description: partial 16S ribosomal RNA
Rfam family: Bacterial small subunit ribosomal RNA
Source: RNAcentral
GACGAACGCUGGCGGCGUGCUUAACACAUGCCAGUCGAACGGAAAGGCCCUGCUUUUGUUGGUUGCUCGAGUGGCGAACGGGUGAGUAACACGUGAGUAACCUGCUCUUGACUUUGGGAUAACUUCAGGAAACUUGGGCUAAUGCCGGAUAGGAGCUCACGCUGCAUGGUGGGGGUUGGAAAGUUUCGGCGGUUGGGGAUGGACUCGCGGCUUAUCAGCUUGUUGGUGGGGUAGUGGCUUACCAAGGCUUUGACGGGUAGCCGGCCUGAGAGGGUGACCGGCCACAUUGGGACUGAGAUACGGCCCAGACUCCUACGGGAGGCAGCAGUGGGGAAUAUUGCACAAUGGGCGGAAGCCUGAUGCAGCAACGCCGCGUGCGGGAUGACGGCCUUCGGGUUGUAAACCGCUUUCGCCUGUGACGAAGCGUGAGUGACGGUAAUGGGUAAAGAAGCACCGGCUAACUACGUG